AAUGAGCAUAUUAGUUAUGUUGUAUGUGUUCGAUACUGAAAACGGAUACUUGCCUAUUUAAAAACAAACGCUUAUAAGUAAGAAUUUAAUAAGUUAUUUGAUUUAAUGUUAUUCAAUCAAUAAGAAGAAUAAUUAUACCUUUGGCUUUAACUUUCGCAUAUUGUAACAAUAUGAUUGUCGGACCACCGUCUUUGUUCAUUUGAACGUAGUUCAUGAUUUAACAGCAUAUGUCUCCCAAAAAAGUAUAGUUCAAUGUGUCAUUCCUGCACAAUUUCAAUGAUUAUUUUAACAAAUUAUAUAGUACUAUAAGAAUAGUAGUUAAAGUCGAAAUAUAAAAACUGUCAUAAAAAUAAAUUAAAAGCCAGAACAUUUACACAUGGUCUUUUAGAAUUAGGUUCACUUGUUGCUUGUUGUUGCCAGC
RNAcentral lists this long non-coding RNA (421 nucleotides) under Lathyrus oleraceus (garden pea). RNAcentral's name for it is "Pisum sativum (pea) long non-coding RNA (PSAT_LNC000324)". Lineage: Eukaryota; Viridiplantae; Streptophyta; Magnoliopsida; Fabales; Fabaceae. The record is from RNAcentral.